GACGAACGCUGGCGGCGUGCUUAACACAUGCAAGUCGAGCGGGUCUGCCCUGUUUUUUGCGGGGUGGGUCAGUGGCGAACGGGUGAGUAACACGUGAGUAACCUGCCCCUCACUUCUGGAUAACCGCUUGAAAGGGUGGCUAAUACGGGGUGUUCUGGCUGUGCCGCAUGGUGUGGCUGGGAAAGAUUCACUUUUGUGGUGUUUUGGUGGGGGAUGGGCUCGCGGCCUAUCAGCUUGUUGGUGGGGUGAUGGCCUGCCAAGGCUUUGACGGGUAGCCGGCCUGGGGGGGUGGGCGGUCACACGGGGACUGAGAUACGGCCCAGACUCCGGCGGGAGGCAGCAGUGGGGGGUAUUGCACAAUGGGCGGAAGCCUGAUGCAGCGACGUCGCGUGAGGGAUGGAGGCCUUCGGGUUGUGAACCUCUUUCGCCGGUGAAGAAGGUCCUGCUCUUUGUGGUGGGGUUGACGGUAGCCGGGUUAUGAAGCGCCGGCUAACUACGUG
This 500-nucleotide ribosomal RNA is filed under the name uncultured bacterium. RNAcentral's name for it is "partial 16S ribosomal RNA". It matches the Rfam family "Bacterial small subunit ribosomal RNA", at positions 28 to 507 of the family's 1533-position model. The record is from RNAcentral.